Molecule: ribosomal RNA, 402 nt
Filed under: uncultured bacterium
Lineage: Bacteria
Description: bacterial SSU rRNA
Rfam family: Bacterial small subunit ribosomal RNA
Source: RNAcentral
UAGGGAAUUUUGCGCAAUGGGGGAAACCCUGACGCAGCAACACCGCGUGAAUGUUAAGCCCUUCGGGGUGUAAAGUUCUGUCAGUGGGGACGAAAUAUGACUGUACCCACAAAGGAAGCACCGGCUAACUCCGUGCCAGCAGCCGCGGUAAUACGGGGGGUGCAAGCGUUGUCCGGAAUCAUUGGGCGUAAAGCGUUCGUAGGCGGUAAGUCAAGUCAGCUGUGAAAACUAUGGGCUCAACCCAUAGACUGCAGUUGAAACUGAUUUUCUUGAGUGAAGUAGAGGUAGGCGGAAUUCCGAGUGUAGCGGUGAAAUGCGUAGAUAUUCGGAGGAACACCAGUGGCGAAGGCGGCCUACUGGGCUUUAACUGACGCUGAGGCUCGAAAGUGUGGGGAGCAAACA